RNAcentral lists this ribosomal RNA (673 nucleotides) under uncultured prokaryote. Its description in RNAcentral is "bacterial SSU rRNA". It matches the Rfam family "Bacterial small subunit ribosomal RNA", at positions 795 to 1482 of the family's 1533-position model. The record is from RNAcentral.
CNACGCCGUAAACGAUGAAUGCUAGCUGUUAGCGAUAUACUGUUAGCGGCACAGAGAAAUCGUUAAGCAUUCCACCUGGGGAGUACGCCGGCAACGGUGAAACUCAAAGGAAUUGACGGGGGCCCGCACAAGCGGAGGAACAUGUGGUUUAAUUCGAUGAUACGCGAGGAACCUUACCUGGGCUUAAAUUGCAGUGGAAUAACGUGGAAACAUGUUAGCCUUCGGGCCGCUGUGAAGGUGCUGCAUGGUUGUCGUCAGCUCGUGCCGUGAGGUGUCGGCUUAAGUGCCAUAACGAGCGCAACCCUCAUCGAUAGUUACUAACAGGUUAAGCUGAGGACUCUAUCGAGACUGCCGACGUAAGUCGUGAGGAAGGUGGGGAUGACGUCAAAUCAGCACGGCCCUUACGUCCAGGGCUACACACGUGUUACAAUGGGGGGUACAAAGGGCAGCUACCUGGCGACAGGAUGCUAAUCUCUAAAACCUCUCUCAGUUCGGAUUGGAGUCUGCAACCCGACUCCAUGAAGCUGGAUUCGCUAGUAAUCGCGCAUCAGCCACGGCGCGGUGAAUACGUUCCCGGGCCUUGUACACACCGCCCGUCAAGCCAUGGGAGCCGGGGGGACCUGAAGUAUGCAACCGUAAGGAGCGUCCUAGGGUAAAACUGGUGACUGGGGCU